UCCGAGUUGUCCCCGGCAGUCCUCUUAGAGUCCCCGGCAUUACCCGCUGGCAACUAAGAGCAGGGGUUGCGCUCGUUGCGGCACUUAAGCAAACACCUCACGGCACGAGCUGACGACAGCCAUGCAACACCUGUCCCCGUUCCCGACUUUACGGGUCGGCAACCCUUUCAGGCACCUACUUCGGGGAUGGCAAGCCUGGGUAAGGUUCUUCGCUUUGCAUCGAAUUAAAGAACAUGCUCCGCUGCUUGUGCGGGCCCCCGUCAAUUCUUUUGAGUUUUAGCCUUGCGGCCGUACUCCCCAGGCGGAACACUUAACGCAUUGGCUGCGGCACAGGAGGAUUCGACUCCCCCCACACCUAGUGUUCAUCGUUUACGGCUAGGACUAC
This 385-nucleotide unclassified non-coding RNA is filed under the name uncultured Actinomycetes bacterium. RNAcentral describes it as "uncultured actinobacterium contains 16S-23S intergenic spacer region". Lineage: Bacteria; Bacillati; Actinomycetota; Actinomycetes. The record is from RNAcentral.